Molecule: non-coding RNA, 48 nt
Filed under: Trichobilharzia regenti
Lineage: Eukaryota; Metazoa; Platyhelminthes; Trematoda; Strigeidida; Schistosomatidae
Source: RNAcentral
CACUAGCUGAUGAGUCCCGAAUAGGACGAAAUGAGCGUUAUCCUAGUG